AGUGAACGCUGGCGGUAGGCCUAACACAUGCAAGUCGAACGGCAGCACAGUAAGAGCUUGCUCUUACGGGUGGCGAGUGGCGGACGGGUGAGGAAUACAUCGGAAUCUACUUUUUCGUGGGGGAUAACGUAGGGAAACUUACGCUAAUACCGCAUACGACCUACGGGUGAAAGCAGGGGAUCUUCGGACCUUGCGCGUUUGAAUGAGCCGAUGUCGGAUUAGCUAGUUGGCGAGGUAAAGGCCCACCAAGGCAACGAUCCGUAGCUGGUCUGAGAGGAUGAUCAGCCACACUGGAACUGAGACACGGUCCAGACUCCUACGGGAGGCAGCAGUGGGGAAUAUUGGACAAUGGGCGCAAGCCUGAUCCAGCCAUACCGCGUGAGUGAAGAAGGCCUUCGGGUUGUAAAGCCCUUUUGUUAGGAAAGAAAAGCAGCAGGUUAAUACCCCGCUGUUCUGACGGUACCCAAAGAGUAAGCACCGGCUAACUUCGUG
This 492-nucleotide ribosomal RNA is filed under the name uncultured bacterium. RNAcentral's name for it is "partial 16S ribosomal RNA". It matches the Rfam family "Bacterial small subunit ribosomal RNA", at positions 29 to 507 of the family's 1533-position model. The record is from RNAcentral.